GAUGAAGAACGUAGCGAAAUGCGAUAAGUAGUGUGAAUUGCAGAAUUCAGUGAAUCAUCGAAUCUUUGAACGCACAUUGCGCCCCUUGGUAUCCCGAGGGGCAUGCCUGUUCGAGCGUCAUUUCACCACUCAAGCCUGGCUUGGUGUUGGGCGACGUCCUCUUUGGGGACGCGCCUCGAAACGCUCGGCGGCGUGGCACCGGCUUUAAGCGUAGCGGAAUCUUUCGCUUUGGAAGUCGGGGCCCCGUCUGCCGGAAGACCUGCUCGCAAGGUUGACCUCGGAUCAGGCAGGGAUACCCGCUGAACUUAAGCAUAUCAAUAAGCGGAGGA
This 329-nucleotide unclassified non-coding RNA is filed under the name soil metagenome. RNAcentral describes it as "partial contains 5.8S ribosomal RNA, internal transcribed spacer 2, and large subunit ribosomal RNA". The stretch from base 1 to 120 matches the Rfam family "5.8S ribosomal RNA", at positions 35 to 154 of the family's 154-position model. The record is from RNAcentral.